This 831-nucleotide ribosomal RNA is filed under the name Triticum aestivum (bread wheat). RNAcentral's name for it is "partial small subunit ribosomal RNA". Lineage: Eukaryota; Viridiplantae; Streptophyta; Magnoliopsida; Poales; Poaceae. The record is from RNAcentral.
AUGUGUGGGCAUGAAGAAGAGACACUGUUUCAUUCCUUGGUUACCUGCACACAUGCACAACUGUUCUGGGCAGAGGCACUCAGAUUUUUUGGUUGCAACCCUCCUACGUUGCUACCUCUGACUUGGACUAGGGAUCUCCUCGACCCCAACUUCAUCGCAAAGGGGGAUGCAGCCAUUGUAAUCUCGGUGAUGUGGGCAAUAUGGAGCGACCGCAACAAGUACACUCAUGGGGAGCGGCAGUACCAACCGAUCAGGUCCAUGGAGCUCAUUCAGGAGCACCUGAGAGCCCUGAAUAUACCAGCCAACGACAAGAUUGUACAGCGACAGAAAGAAAGAUGGCAGGCCCCGGCAGAAGGUGUGGUGAAGCUAAAUGUGGAUGCUGCAACUGAUGCUAUGGGUCACAGAGCUGGGACGGCGGUAGUGGCAAGAAAUCACAAAGGAGAGUUUCAGGGAGGGAGAUAUGUCUCAUACGAGGGGCUGGCUGAUCCAUAUGUGUGUGAAGCAAUGGGGUGCAGAGAUGCUAUGUUGCUAGCUAUGGACAGAGGAUGGCCAAGGGUGGAGAUCAUAUCAGAUUGCAAACCAGUAGUAGAUGACCGGAACGCCGGGAUACACUGUUCGGUGGGUGGCCCUAUCUUCAGAGAGAUGUCCUCAUAUCUCUCGCUUUUUCAAGGGGUAGAGAUUCAGCAUAAUUCCAGAGAGGCCAAUGAAGCAGCUCAUGUUUUGGCUACGUAUGGUGUUACUACUGAGAUGAGUAGCAUGAACUUUUUUACUACCCCUGUAUUCCUAAGUGCAGCUUUGCACUCGGAUUGUGUACGGUCUAUGAAUGAAUAA